RNAcentral lists this ribosomal RNA (1369 nucleotides) under uncultured Streptococcus sp. RNAcentral's name for it is "bacterial SSU rRNA". It matches the Rfam family "Bacterial small subunit ribosomal RNA", at positions 27 to 1380 of the family's 1533-position model. The record is from RNAcentral. Lineage: Bacteria; Bacillati; Bacillota; Bacilli; Lactobacillales; Streptococcaceae.
GGACGAACGCUGGCGGCGUGCCUAAUACAUGCAAGUAGAACGCUGAAGAGAGGAGCUUGCUCUUCUUGGAUGAGUUGCGAACGGGUGAGUAACGCGUAGGUAACCUGCCUUGUAGCGGGGGAUAACUAUUGGAAACGAUAGCUAAUACCGCAUAACAAUGGAUGACACAUGUCAUUUAUUUGAAAGGGGCAAUUGCUCCACUACAAGAUGGACCUGCGUUGUAUUAGCUAGUAGGUGAGGUAACGGCUCACCUAGGCGACGAUACAUAGCCGACCUGAGAGGGUGAUCGGCCACACUGGGACUGAGACACGGCCCAGACUCCUACGGGAGGCAGCAGUAGGGAAUCUUCGGCAAUGGGGGCAACCCUGACCGAGCAACGCCGCGUGAGUGAAGAAGGUUUUCGGAUCGUAAAGCUCUGUUGUAAGUCAAGAACGAGUGUGAGAGUGGAAAGUUCACACUGUGACGGUAGCUUACCAGAAAGGGACGGCUAACUACGUGCCAGCAGCCGCGGUAAUACGUAGGUCCCGAGCGUUGUCCGGAUUUAUUGGGCGUAAAGCGAGCGCAGGCGGUUUGAUAAGUCUGAAGUUAAAGGCUGUGGCUCAACCAUAGUUCGCUUUGGAAACUGUCAAACUUGAGUGCAGAAGGGGAGAGUGGAAUUCCAUGUGUAGCGGUGAAAUGCGUAGAUAUAUGGAGGAACACCGGUGGCGAAAGCGGCUCUCUGGUCUGUAACUGACGCUGAGGCUCGAAAGCGUGGGGAGCGAACAGGAUUAGAUACCCUGGUAGUCCACGCCGUAAACGAUGAGUGCUAGGUGUUGGAUCCUUUCCGGGAUUCAGUGCCGCAGCUAACGCAUUAAGCACUCCGCCUGGGGAGUACGACCGCAAGGUUGAAACUCAAAGGAAUUGACGGGGGCCCGCACAAGCGGUGGAGCAUGUGGUUUAAUUCGAAGCAACGCGAAGAACCUUACCAGGUCUUGACAUCCCGAUGCUAUUUCUAGAGAUAGAAAGUUACUUCGGUACAUCGGUGACAGGUGGUGCAUGGUUGUCGUCAGCUCGUGUCGUGAGAUGUUGGGUUAAGUCCCGCAACGAGCGCAACCCCUAUUGUUAGUUGCCAUCAUUCAGUUGGGCACUCUAGCGAGACUGCCGGUAAUAAACCGGAGGAAGGUGGGGAUGACGUCAAAUCAUCAUGCCCCUUAUGACCUGGGCUACACACGUGCUACAAUGGUUGGUACAACGAGUUGCGAGUCGGUGACGGCAAGCUAAUCUCUUAAAGCCAAUCUCAGUUCGGAUUGUAGGCUGCAACUCGCCUACAUGAAGUCGGAAUCGCUAGUAAUCGCGGAUCAGCACGCCGCGGUGAAUACGUUCCCGGGCC